GACGAACCGAGCGAACGUUGUUCGGAGUAACUGGGCUUAAAGGGCGCGUAGGCGGGCCGCCAAGUUCGAGGUGAAAUCCUCCGGCUCAACCGGAGAACUGCCUCGAAUACUGGAGGCCUCGAGGCGGGUAGGGGCGUGCGGAACUGUGGGUGGAGCGGUGAAAUGCGUUGAUAUCCACAGGAACUCCGGUGGCGAAGGCACUUUACUGGGCUAUUACUAACACUCAGAGACGAAAGCUAGGGUAGCAAAUGGG
RNAcentral lists this ribosomal RNA (253 nucleotides) under uncultured bacterium. RNAcentral describes it as "partial 16S ribosomal RNA". It matches the Rfam family "Bacterial small subunit ribosomal RNA", at positions 524 to 776 of the family's 1533-position model. The record is from RNAcentral.